CAAAUGGACAUCAUUUGCUGAAACUCUUAAACCUGUGAAUAUUGUUUCUUAAUACCAUUUGUUUGAAUCACAGAAUCACAAAGCCAGAAUUUAUUAAAUCUGGAGGAAAUGGUUUAGUGGCUUGUUGACAUGUUUUUUAUUUAUGCCUGUGAGUGAGACAAGUAGAAUGCCCACAGUUCGAAGCAGUGCUAUUCAACACAGAGGUGCGUUCAUCACGGGUACCAAUUACCCACAGCUGUAAAGCUUUGCUCGGAGGCACGAGUCUUUCUUCUUAAAAGUAGGCCCUGGAACUGCUGCUUUUCCCACCUUCCCCUCUUCUCGGGGGAGGGGCUCUAUGACCAACCUGCCUUAUCUGAUGUGAUGGUCCUUCAUCGGAGAAAAGAUGGUGAUGAUGAACCAAGGCUGGGAGAAGGUGGAGCCAGGCUUCGGAAGGCUCCCAGGACAAAGUGCAGGAGGAAACGGGGAGGCCCCACAGACUCAGUCACAAUUAAGUCAGAAUUCUCUCAGGCUUGCUACAUUGUGAUGUCUAUCGGAGAUAGAAGACCUGCCUGGCUGGGUCUCAAAUGAGUCAGGACAGACUUCCACCUGUAACUGAGCCUCGUCCCUGACUGUCACCUCAGAAAUGAAGGAAGGAUGGGGCAGAGGACAGUCCACUACCCACUGCCCCGGGCGCGGAGCUCUCCUCACAACAGCCCUACCACCAGCCACUCUAGGGCUAAUGGAGACUGAUUUUAGGCAGAGGAAGACGGACCCUUCCAGAUGUUUCUGGCCUCCUCCUCUCCUGGGCCUCUUCCUCUCGUUCCUGGCAUGUCUUAAUCCUCCUGGUGGAAGUCUCCCACCUUUCAGGAGGACCUGUUCACCAGGACCCCUCAUCUCCGUGUCGUCUACACCUUCCACGGUGAAGGACACGCUCUCAGCCCUGUGUGGUGUCUUGAACGUGUGCACCUGUAUAACGUCUUCCACAGAAUUUGGUGAGCAAUUGAUUCUGGAAGAAACACGGUGGAGAUCUUCCCCAAGACUGGGGUGCUCAGAGGGAGCCCUCCCGUGGAGCUCAGCUCACAGCACCAGGCUAACUCAGGUUUCUGGGGCGGCGGCCUGUCCCGCCUCAGCCUGCCGGGGACGCCAUGUGGACGCCACGCUGCUCGACUGGCACAGAGGGACCGCAGGCGCCCGGUUCUCGGGCCUCUGAGGCUGGAGCCAGGGUUAGUGCCACUGUCUGGUUCAUCAAACGCUGCAGAGGCCGUGAGGAAGGCUGGCUUUCUCCAGCAAACCCCAUGCUCCCUUGUUCACUGUGAGACCUGGCAGCUGUCUGGAUUUACUUCUCACAAAUCACUUGUUCUACUUUCUGUAUCUUAUCAGAGGGGAAAUUGUGGAAUAAAACCUUUCAGGAUCUAGGAUGCUGGCGGCUGACUGGAUCUGGGAAGGCCCUCCUGGUACCUGGCCCUGCCUGCCUGUUCAGUCUAUGGGCCGGCCAAGCUGUAACACCACUAUGAACAGGAGUGGAAACAUGGGGGAGCAUCAGGUCACACCCCGACACUUGUCACAUGUCGGCUUCAUCAAAUGUGACAUUUACUUCGUGGGUGAGUUUUAUCCAGAUGUUCCUAUCCGUGAUUUUCUCAUUAGUUCUUGACCUGCCUUAUUGGAAGGGGAAGACGGGCAGAUGACCAGGCUGCUCGUGUUGCUUCAUUGGGUCGGGACGGCAGUUGUUCCGUUGGCCAUUCCUAGUAGUGUCACCCUGGCUCUUACGUUCUUGACCUAAAGAACUCCCGCUGGAAUACACGAAACUCCACCGGAAAGAGAGGUGACACAUGUCAAGUGCAUUUUGUGACACUGGUAGUUCUCCGCUCUUUAAGAAAAAUAUAAACACUGUGGUAUACUGGGCCUGCAAUUUAUACUUCUGAAGCCAGAUCAUAUCUGUGACCUCUUUUAACAUGAAAAGGAAGAAAAUCAAUAGGUGCAAAGAUGUGUGACCAUGAGAGCUGAUAAGCUAAUGUGCGCUUCCCUGAGCCUACGAUUUUCUGUCACUCCUGGUUCACAGAACUCACUCUGCACGUGUGCAACCCAGGGGGAGCCCUGUGCACCCGCCUCACCACCCUGCCUGUGAUGGAUGCGGCGCCUGGCAUCUGGGAAAGGUUACCGCGUUGAGAGAGCAUCGCAGCCGCCAUUCUUUCCUCCGUGUUCUCUGUUUGCAUCGUUGGGGUGAAGAAGCAGCUGCAGCAGGUGGCAGCGUCCUCUGGCCUGAAGACGUGGGGAGGAGAUGGGAGAUUCCCUCCGGAGCUGACAAUCUGAUUGGGUUCUGUGUGAACAAGCCGUUGACCUUCCUGCUUCCUUUCAGCCCCAUAGCCUGGGGUAGGACGCAGUUCUGUGUUGGUCACUCGUGUUCAGCCUGCACACGGGGCUCAGAGCCUGGACUCGUGCUCCCUCGCCAGAACCAAGGGCUUUCCCGGGAGAGUGGAGUCAGCGUGAACGCCUGACAGAUGCUCUGAGCGCUGAGUGGAAAGACUUCUGCACUUGUGACACGUAUUUAUAGGAGUUACGUUAAAAUCCUUCUCACACAAUUCCAACCUCUGGCUUAUCUGGUAUCGUUACCCAUUGAUUGUCUUUUAUCAUUCAAGUUGUGAUUACUUUGACUCUUUGUAUGAUAAAUGAUUUUGGAGUGAAGCCGGACAUUUUGGGUAUUAUAUUGAGACUUUGGGUCCUUUUUAAUCUCCCUUUUGUUUUUGGGUAAGGAAGGUUGGCCCUGAGCUAACAUCUGUUGCCAAUCCUCCUGUUUUUGCUUGAAGAAGAUUGUCACUGAGCUAACAUCUGUGCCAGUCUUCCUCUAUUUUGUGUGUGGGAUGCUGCUGCAGUAAGGCUGAUGAGCAGUGUGUAGGUCCAUGCCUAGGAUCUGAA
Long non-coding RNA from Equus caballus (horse), 2892 nucleotides. The record is from Ensembl. Lineage: Eukaryota; Metazoa; Chordata; Mammalia; Perissodactyla; Equidae.